RNAcentral lists this ribosomal RNA (700 nucleotides) under uncultured bacterium. Its description in RNAcentral is "bacterial SSU rRNA". It matches the Rfam family "Bacterial small subunit ribosomal RNA", at positions 75 to 789 of the family's 1533-position model. The record is from RNAcentral.
GGAGCUUGCUCCGGUGGAUUAGUGGCGAACGGGUGAGUAACACGUGAGCAACCUGCCCUUCACUCUGGGAUAACUGCGGGAAACUGUAGCUAAUACCGGAUAUUAGGAUCUGAGGCAUCUCGGAUCUUGGAAAGAAUUUCGGUGAAGGAUGGACUCGCGGCCUAUCAGCUUGUUGGUGAGGUAAUGGCUCACCAAGGCGACGACGGGUAGCCGGCCUGAGAGGGUGACCGGCCACACUGGAACUGAGACACGGUCCAGACUCCUACGGGAGGCAGCAGUGGGGAAUAUUGCACAAUGGGCGCAAGCCUGAUGCAGCAACGCCGCGUGAGGGACGAAGGCCUUCGGGUUGUAAACCUCUUUUAGCAGGGAAGAAGCGAAAGUGACGGUACCUGCAGAAAAAGCACCGGCUAACUACGUGCCAGCAGCCGCGGUAAUACGUAGGGUGCAAGCGUUGUCCGGAAUUAUUGGGCGUAAAGAGCUCGUAGGCGGUUUGUCGCGUCUGCUGUGAAAACUGGAAGCUCAACUUCCAGCCUGCAGUGGGUACGGGCAGACUAGAGUGCGGUAGGGGAGAACGGAAUUCCUGGUGUAGCGGUGGAAUGCGCAGAUAUCAGGAGGAACACCGAUGGCGAAGGCAGUUCUCUGGGCCGUUACUGACGCUGAGGAGCGAAAGCGUGGGGAGCGAACAGGAUUAGAUACCCUG